CCGGGACGGGGGAGGCAGCAGCAGCAGCCGUCCUGCAGACAUCCUGCUUUUCAUCAGCUCUGCUACUGUCGGCAUUAAAUAAAGGUGUUAGCGGAGGAAACGCCUUGCUCAAUGCAGACUCAGGACACCAGCAGAACCACCAACAAAAACAACUUGGGCCUAGAAAUUCUCAGGAGACUUGCCCUAAAUCAAGGAUGUCAUUUUUCAAACUGCCAGCCCCAAGCUGUCAGAGAAGUGCAGACUGAAACAGGGGUUGGCAGAGAAGAAACAAACAGAUUUCCCACUGCUGUCACAAACUUGUUGCAUUGUUAAGCAGAAAACAAUAGAGGCUUUUUCUUCAUUUUUUUUUAAGCCAGCAUAAUAAAUGUAAGCUUCCUGGUGGUGUCAUGGUGUUUUUUCCUCUUCCUUCUCUCUCUGUUUGUAUCCCUCCCUGCCAAGUCUACUUCUUCAAAAGCAUUUCAUGGUUACACUGUAAACAAUACAAGGGGAAGAAAACCUACUACAAACUUAAAGGAAAUAAAAGCUGGUUUUGUUUGU
Molecule: long non-coding RNA, 537 nt
Organism: Taeniopygia guttata (zebra finch)
Lineage: Eukaryota; Metazoa; Chordata; Aves; Passeriformes; Estrildidae
Source: RefSeq, a predicted model, not a curated record